This 254-nucleotide ribosomal RNA is filed under the name uncultured bacterium. RNAcentral's name for it is "partial 16S ribosomal RNA". It matches the Rfam family "Bacterial small subunit ribosomal RNA", at positions 524 to 776 of the family's 1533-position model. The record is from RNAcentral.
UACGUAGGCAGCAAGCGUUGUUCGGAGUUACUGGGCGUAAAGGGUGCGUAGGCGGUUGUUUUAAGUUUGGUGUGAAAUCUCCCGGCUCAACCGGGAGGGUGCGCCGAAUACUGAACGGCUAGAGUGCGGGAGAGGAGAGUGGAAUUCCUGGUGUAGCGGUGAAAUGCGUAGAUAUCAGGAGGAACACCGGUGGUGUAGACGGCUCUCUGGACCGUAACUGACGCUGAGGCACGAAAGCGUGGGUAGCAAACAGG